This 252-nucleotide ribosomal RNA is filed under the name uncultured bacterium. RNAcentral describes it as "partial 16S ribosomal RNA". It matches the Rfam family "Bacterial small subunit ribosomal RNA", at positions 524 to 775 of the family's 1533-position model. The record is from RNAcentral.
UACAGAGGGUGCAAGCGUUGUUCGGAAUCAUUGGGCGUAAAGCGCACGUAGGCGGCCUGCUAAGUCGGAUGUGAAAGCCCAGGGCUCAACCCUGGAAGUGCAUUCGAAACUGGCGAGCUUGAAUGUCGGAGAGGGCAGUGGAAUUCCGAGUGUAGAGGUGAAAUUCGUAGAUAUUCGGAGGAACACCAGUGGCGAAGGCGACUGCCUGGACGAACAUUGACGCUGAGGUGCGAAAGCGUGGGGAGCAACAGG